Molecule: ribosomal RNA, 375 nt
Filed under: uncultured bacterium
Lineage: Bacteria
Description: bacterial SSU rRNA
Rfam family: Bacterial small subunit ribosomal RNA
Source: RNAcentral
GACGAACCGUGCGAACGUUGUUCGGAAUCACUGGGCUUAAAGGGCGCGUAGGCGGACUCUCAAGUCUGUGGUGAAAUCCCCCGGCUCAACCGGGGAACUGCCGUGGAUACUGGGAGUCUCGAGGGGUGUAGGGGCAUGCGGAACUUCGGGUGGAGCGGUGAAAUGCGUAGAUAUCCGAAGGAACGCCGGUGGCGAAAGCGGCGUGCUGGACACCUUCUGACGCUGAGGCGCGAAAGCCAGGGGAGCAAACGGGAUUAGAUACCCCGGUAGUCCUGGCCCUAAACGAUGGGUACUAGAUUGUAGACUGGACAUGGGUUUACAAUCGAAGCAAAAGUGAUAAGUACCCCGCCUGGGGAGUAUGGUCGCAAGGCUGAA